CGGAGGUUAGGCGUACAUAGCUGAUUUGGUCAUUA
RNAcentral lists this ribosomal RNA (35 nucleotides) under uncultured Cortinarius. Its description in RNAcentral is "partial 18S ribosomal RNA". The record is from RNAcentral. Lineage: Eukaryota; Fungi; Basidiomycota; Agaricomycetes; Agaricales; Cortinariaceae.